CGCCCUUAGAGUUUGAUCAUGGCUCAGAUUGAACGCUGGCGGCAGGCUUAACACAUGCAAGUCGAACGGUAUAGGUGCUUGCACCUGACGAGUGGCGGACGGGUGAGUAAUGUAUGGGGAUCUGCCGAAUGGAUUGGGACAACCACUGGAAACGGUGGCUAAUACCGAAUAAUGUUGAGAGACCAAAGUGUUUCGACAUGCCAUUUGAUGAACCCAUAUGGGAUUAGCUAGUAGGCGGGGUAAUGGCCCACCUAGGCGACGAUCUCUAGCUGGUCUGAGAGGAUGACCAGCCACACUGGGACUGAGACACGGCCCAGACUCCUACGGGAGGCAGCAGUGGGGAAUAUUGCACAAUGGGGGAAACCCUGAUGCAGCCAUGCCGCGUGUAUGAAGAAGGCCUUCGGGUUGUAAAGUACUUUCGGUAGUGAGGAAGGUUACUAUUAACAUAGUAAAUUGACGUUAAUUACAGAAGAAGCACCGGCUAACUCCGUGCCAGCAGCCGCGGUAAUACGGAGGGUGCGAGCGUUAAUCGGAAUGACUGGGCGUAAAGGGCAUGUAGGUGGAUAAUUAAGUUAGGUGUGAAAGCCCCGAGCUCAACUUGGGAAUUGCACUUAAAACUGGUUAUCUAGAGUAUUGUAGAGGAAAGGUAAAUUCCACGUGUAGCGGUGAAAUGCGUAGAGAUGUGGAGGAACCGGU
RNAcentral lists this ribosomal RNA (696 nucleotides) under uncultured Enterobacteriaceae bacterium. RNAcentral's name for it is "bacterial SSU rRNA". It matches the Rfam family "Bacterial small subunit ribosomal RNA", at positions 1 to 713 of the family's 1533-position model. Lineage: Bacteria; Pseudomonadati; Pseudomonadota; Gammaproteobacteria; Enterobacterales; Enterobacteriaceae. The record is from RNAcentral.